This 254-nucleotide ribosomal RNA is filed under the name uncultured bacterium. RNAcentral describes it as "partial 16S ribosomal RNA". It matches the Rfam family "Bacterial small subunit ribosomal RNA", at positions 524 to 776 of the family's 1533-position model. The record is from RNAcentral.
UACGAAGGGGGCUAGCGUUGCUCGGAAUCACUGGGCGUAAAGCGCACGUAGGCGGGUUGUUAAGUCGGGGGUGAAAUCCUGGAGCUCAACUCCAGAACUGCCUUCGAUACUGGCGAUCUUUGAGUCCGGAAGAGGUGAGUGGAACUCCUAGUGUAGAGGUGGAAUUCGUAGAUAUUAGGAAGAACACCAGUGGCGAAGGCGGCUCACUGGUCCGGUACUGACGCUGAGGUGCGAAAGCGUGGGGAGCAAACAGG